This 253-nucleotide ribosomal RNA is filed under the name uncultured bacterium. Its description in RNAcentral is "partial 16S ribosomal RNA". It matches the Rfam family "Bacterial small subunit ribosomal RNA", at positions 524 to 776 of the family's 1533-position model. The record is from RNAcentral.
UACAGAGGUCUCAAGCGUUGUUCGGAUUCAUUGGGCGUAAAGGGUGCGUAGGUGGCGGGGUUAGUCAGGUGUGAAAUCUCGGGGCUCAACCCCGAAACUGCACUUGAUACUGCCUUGCUAGAGUACUGGAGAGGAGAUUGGAAUUUACGGUGUAGCAGUGAAAUGCGUAGAUAUCGUAAGGAAGACCAGUGGCGAAGGCGGGUCUCUGGACAGUUCCUGACGCUGAGGCACGAAGGCCAGGGGAGCAAACGGG